GCACUUGUGGCUCAGUGGUAGAGCGUCGCACUCGUAAUGCGAAGGUCGUGGGUUCAAUCCCCAUCAGGUGCA
Non-coding RNA from Aspergillus ellipticus CBS 707.79, 72 nucleotides. NCBI's taxonomy places the organism in Eukaryota, Fungi, Ascomycota, Eurotiomycetes, Eurotiales, Aspergillaceae. The record is from the annotation of a GenBank genome assembly.